RNAcentral lists this ribosomal RNA (256 nucleotides) under uncultured bacterium. RNAcentral's name for it is "partial 16S ribosomal RNA". It matches the Rfam family "Bacterial small subunit ribosomal RNA", at positions 524 to 776 of the family's 1533-position model. The record is from RNAcentral.
UACGUAGGGUGCAAGCGUUGUCCGGAUUUAUUGGGUUUAAAGGGUGCGUAGGCGGCCCUGUAAGUCAGUGGUGAAAUACUCCAGCUUAACUGGAGGGGUGCCAUUGAUACUGCAGGGCUUGAGUUAAGUUGAAGUUGGCGGAAUUGACGGUGUAGCGGUGAAAUGCUUAGAUAUCGUCAAGAACACCGAUAGUGAAGACAGCUAACUAAACUUUUUACUGACGCUGAGGCACGAAAAGUGUGGGGAUCAAAACAGG